CCAUGCAUGUCUAAGUAUAAGCAAUUAUACAGCGAAACUGCGAAUGGCUCAUUAUAUAAGUUAUCGUUUAUUUGAUAGUACCUUACUACUUGGAUAACCGUGGUAAUUCUAGAGCUAAUACAUGCUAAAAAUCCCGACUUCGGAAGGGAUGUAUUUAUUAGAUUAAAAACCAAUGCCCUCUGGGCUCCUUGGUGAUUCAUAAUAACUUUUCGAAUCGCAUGGCCUUGCGCCGGCGAUGGUUCAUUCAAAUUUCUUCCCUAUCAACUUUCGAUGUUUGGGUAUUGGCCAAACAUGGUCGCAACGGGUAACGGAGGGUUAGGGCUCGACCCCGGAGAAGGAGCCUGAGAAACGGCUACUACAUCCAAGGAAGGCAGCAGGCGCGCAAAUUACCCAAUCCCGAUUCGGGGAGGUAGUGACAAUAAAUACUGAUACAGGGCUCUUUUGGGUCUUGUAAUUGGAAUGAGUACAAUUUAAAUCCCUUAACGAGGAACAAUUGGAGGGCAAGUCUGGUGCCAGCAGCCGCGGUAAUUCCAGCUCCAAUAGCGUAUAUUAAAGUUGUUGUGGUUAAAAAGCUCGUAGUUGAACCUUGGGCCUGGCUGGCCGGUCCGCCUCACCGCGUGUACUGGUCCGGCCGGGCCUUUCCCUCUGUGGAACCUCAUGCCCUUCACUGGGUGUGGCGGGGAAACAGGACUUUUACUUUGAAAAAAUUAGAGUGCUCCAGGCAGGCCUAUGCUCGAAUACAUUAGCAUGGAAUAAUGAAAUAGGACGUGUGGUUCUAUUUUGUUGGUUUCUAGGACCGCCGUAAUGAUUAAUAGGGACAGUCGGGGGCAUCAGUAUUCAAUUGUCAGAGGUGAAAUUCUUGGAUUUAUUGAAGACUAACUACUGCGAAAGCAUUUGCCAAGGAUGUUUUCAUUAAUCAGGAACGAAAGUUAGGGGAUCGAAGACGAUCAGAUACCGUCGUAGUCUUAACCAUAAACUAUGCCGACUAGGGAUCGGACGAUGUUAUUUUUUGACGCGUUCGGCACCUUACGAGAAAUCAAAGUGCUU
Molecule: ribosomal RNA, 1047 nt
Filed under: Samsoniella hepiali
Lineage: Eukaryota; Fungi; Ascomycota; Sordariomycetes; Hypocreales; Cordycipitaceae
Also listed under: 2 other names
Description: SSU rRNA
Rfam family: Eukaryotic small subunit ribosomal RNA
Source: RNAcentral